GACGAACGCUGGCGGCGUGCUUAACACAUGCAAGUCGAGCGGGAUCCAACCGGUGGCAACACCGGGGAGAUCUAGCGGCGAACGGGUGAGUAACACGUGAGCAACCUGCCCCGAAGACUGGGAGUAACACCGGGAAACCGGUAGCUAAUACCGGAUGUCGUCAUUAGGCCGCAUGACCUGAUGAUGAAAGGAUUCAUCGC
This 200-nucleotide ribosomal RNA is filed under the name uncultured bacterium. RNAcentral describes it as "partial 16S ribosomal RNA". It matches the Rfam family "Bacterial small subunit ribosomal RNA", at positions 28 to 218 of the family's 1533-position model. The record is from RNAcentral.